GAUGAACGCUGGCGGCGUGCCUAAUACAUGCAAGUCGAGCGAACGGACGAGAAGCUUGCUUCUCUGAUGUUAGCGGCGGACGGGUGAGUAACACGUGGAUAACCUACCUAUAAGACUGGGAUAACUUCGGGAAACCGGAGCUAAUACCGGAUAAUAUAUUGAACCGCAUGGUUCAAUAGUGAAAGACGGUCUUGCUGUCACUUAUAGAUGGAUCCGCGCUGCAUUAGCUAGUUGGUAAGGUAACGGCUUACCAAGGCAACGAUGCAUAGCCGACCUGAGAGGGUGAUCGGCCACACUGGAACUGAGACACGGUCCAGACUCCUACGGGAGGCAGCAGUAGGGAAUCUUCCGCAAUGGGCGAAAGCCUGACGGAGCAACGCCGCGUGAGUGAUGAAGGUCUUCGGAUCGUAAAACUCUGUUAUUAGGGAAGAACAAAUGUGUAAGUAACUAUGCACAUCUUGACGGUACCUAAUCAGAAAGCCACGGCUAACUACGUG
This 497-nucleotide ribosomal RNA is filed under the name uncultured bacterium. RNAcentral describes it as "partial 16S ribosomal RNA". It matches the Rfam family "Bacterial small subunit ribosomal RNA", at positions 28 to 507 of the family's 1533-position model. The record is from RNAcentral.